GCCAGAUAUAUACUGAACCUUGCAUGCAUAAAGGACUUCCUCUGUCUGACGUGGUCAUUAUCCUUGACAAACUGUUGAAACCUUAGGAAAAUGGUCUAAAAAUAUUUGGAGGGAGAUUAAGUGGUUCAACAAGUAACGCUCUAAUGGAUGACAGAGAAUUUCCACCAAAUGACCUACAAAUAGACUCAAAGGACAGUCUUCCUGCUGACUAUAGGGUGGAAAGUUUGGCAUCUCAUUUGGUUUCUUCAGCUGAUGAAAAUGAAAAUCAACUUGACAAUGACGGGAAUGAGGUUCUGACCAGUAGUAGCAUUGCUAUGGGACGACAGGAUAAAGGUGACCAGGACAGCAUCAAUAAUAAUGAGAAUAUGGACAGUGGAGACUGUACCCCAAGCUGUAAGGAAAGUGAGACUGAGAGGAGAUCUGUAAAUGUCCAUAUGGACCCCCAGCAGGAGGAAAAGCCUAUUACAGAAAAACAACCAGGUGGAAAAAGAAGUCCAAGAAGCAAAAGAAGCUCCAGUAAAAGAUCUAAAGGAGUUCCUACAGUGGGAACCACAGCAAUCAAGGAGGAAAAUACUCUUAUUGCAGAUACAGAUUCUGUGCAUGCUGAAGGUGCUGUUGAAGCAAAUGAAAACUUUCACCAAAAAGAACAAAAACAAACGUUGCAGUCUCUUUUCUCUUUGCUCCGUGAAGAGGUUGAGCAGAUGGAUUCAAAGAUACUGCCCCUGUGUCUCCACCAGAUAGCUGAGACCUAUUUUCAAGAGGAGGAAUAUGAGAAGGCAGUGAAGUUCAUUCAGCUUGAACGACUGUAUCACGAGCAGCUGCUUGCAAAUCUUUCUUCCAUACAGGAGCAGUGGGAAAGAAAAUGGAAAACAGCAGUUCCUAGUCCAGUUACAACACUGAGGAAUUCAGCUAAAGAACUGAGCAGUGGAGAUCUGGAAAAGCUUACUAGAGUUUGCUCUUCGCAUCAACAGCCACAGGCAUCCAAAAAUAAGCUAGUAACUGCAGAAAAUACAUGGGAAAGCGGUUGUUUGCUUCAGUUAAUGGAAUCGAAAAAUUCAAAGGAAAAAGAAGCUGAUGCUUUUAAAUCAGGUACUGAAACUUGUCCUGGCGUUGGACCAAAGAAAGAAGAUAAACAGCUGAGCACUAGUUCUCCAGGUGAAAACAAAACUGAGAGACAGACAGAGGCAGCAAGCCUUUGGGUAGCUGCAGGGAAGGACCACAUGGAGGAGCAGCACUGCAGUGCUGAAUCAACAUUGGAGCCACACACCCAGUCCACAGGGACAGUGGGCAGGCCUUCUCCGGGCUGUUUAUCAUCUGGGGAUGCCGGUAAAGAUACCAGUUCGCAGCUGAGAGAAAGACAGCUCUCUAAGGAUGCGGAAAAAAUAGAAGGCACAGCUGGGGAGCCUGGAGUGAAACCCCCUCUUGAGCCAAUGGUAGAUGCUUUGGUUUUAACAGAUGCUGAUUAUAUGCCUACUGAUUUGGUUCCUACUGAUAAAGAUGUGCAAGCUGAUAGAAAUCUGCUCAGAUCAAAACAUGCUGCUGGCUCUUCAGAAAUUGCUAGUGGCCAGCUUGGAAAUAGUGAUUUAAAGCAGCAACAGAAACAGCCUGAUGAUGAAAAAUCUUCACGGGAUGGAACUGCAUCAAAUGUAUGCUCUGGGUGUAAUAAAGUGUCUGAGCAUGAGAGUACUGCCCAUUCACGAGUAUGCAAGGAAAUACAGAGAACAGCAGGACAGGAGGAGAAGGUAAAUAAUGAAGAACAAGAAGAUUUAUUUCUCAGAUUUUUAAAUGGUAACAUAAUAGACACUGAAGAAUCAUUUGCAAACUUGGCAAACGAAGAGGACUUUGACACUGUUCCAGAUAUUUUACCUGAACGAGCAUCUUACAACUCACUGGAAGCUUUGUCACUAGAUGACAGCUUUUCUUCUCUUGAUGAACUUGCAAGAAGGAUAGAGAUUGCUGAGAUUGCCCCAGCAGAAGGAUUGGUGUCUAUACUAAAGAAGAGACAUGACAGGGAAGGAAAAACAAUUGCUCAAGUCCAGCAAAGGCAAACAAAGAGAAGAGUGCGAUUCCAAGAAAUGGAAGACACGUUGGAUCAAGAUGAAGUAGCUGGUGGCUCCUGUAUUUUGCUGAUCCUGCUGUGCAUAGCAACUGUUUUCCUUAGCAUUGGAGGAACUGCAUUGUACUGCACCUUUGGUGACAUGGAAUCCCCUGUGUGUACUGAUUUUGCAGCCAACAUGGAUUUCUAUUAUACCCAGAUAUUGCAGCGUAUGGAAGAACUUAAACACUGGACAGCCUUCUCCUGGUUGAAAUGAGCGGAGACAGCACAUUGAGGGCUCACUAAUGGUUACUGGAGAGGGUAGAAAAAAAUUGUGAUUUCAAGUUCUCUAACACUUGCCGCCUGCAGGUGAUGUGUAUUUGAUGAUGUACUUACACUUUUACUUAGAAAUCAAGAAAAUUCUAGUUUAGCAAUCAGGUGGCAAAAUGUUCACAUCUUAAGCUGUAGCAGUGUGGCAUGGGAGAAUAAAAAGUUACUCUCUUCACCCUUCUGAGAGUAGGCAAGUAGCUUUUUGACAACUUAAGCAAGUGAAGAAGAAAGAAGAAAAUGAGUUGUCUUCUAUAUGCUCUCCCAUUGCCACACAUUGUGUGAGCAAUCUCUGGAAGCUUAGUAAAAGGACAGCUUUAAUUUACAGCUGUUUGUGCAAAGGUGUUGCCUCCAGCUAUCAUGCAAUAAGUCUGUGUUAUGGAAACAUUUUUUUUUUUUUCCCUAAGUCUUACUAUUUUUCUCCAUUUUAAUUCUCCUGGUGAGCCAUGUAAUUAUUUGGGUGGAGUGAGAAGAGUGCAGCGGCAUUAACGGAGCCCUCAUUUGGUGAUUAACAGGCUGACCCUGUAUCUUAUAGCUUACGUGCAAAGACUCACUAGUAUCAGCAGAGCUGCCUACAAGAAAAUCGUGAAGAGGUUGGGCACCACUUUACCAGCACAUACCCGAUGAAAAAUGAGCGGCCAGGCAUUCUGUGUAACUCGGCUACCUUACACUUGUGUUGUAACUUGGAGCACCUCUCCAGCCUUUCCAGCCUAUGCCAAGGUACCGCACCUGCAAAGUCUCUCAGGAUCUGAAGGAGCGGAAGGGGCACAUACGCACAGGCUGCCCGGCUCCUGAUCUGAGCUGUUCACUCCUCAGUUGCAACCAAGUGGUUGAAUCUGGAUCUAAUUUCUGUUGGCAUUCCUUUAUAAAAAGCUGAUGGUACUAAUUCUUGCUUCAUGUGACAAUUCUGUUAGUGCAAAUAGUUUGCAUGGUCUGUAGUACAUUAUCAAACUUGUAGCUACCAACGUAACAAAAUUUGCUUUGUGUCGAACUCCAAAGAGUGUGCGGGUAGGCCUGAUGUUGGCCUUCCUUCAUGAUCUGUUCUCUUUAGAUUGCUGGUGACAUUGCUUCCGCCUGGGUGACCUGAGGGGUUAGGAUCUUACAGUCCAGUAAAUCCAAGCUAAAAGAAAUAGUUGAUUUGAACAGUUAUUCCUCUUGUCUGAGUAUUUUGAGGUAAAAUAAUACUGAGCAACAGCUAAGAUUGUUAUAAGUAGGAAGAAAACAGAGGAAAAAGGCUUUCCCCCCUCCUCUGUGUGUUUUAAAGCCCUUUGUGUGUAAGUUUGUUUUUAUUCUGUUUCCUUGCCUGCCACUGCCUUCAUGGCUGUUCUGCUUGGCAGCAGGGGAAACAUGCUACAUCAGCAUAAAACCAUUUGUAGUUGGUAGGAAAAUUCAGGGAAUGGUGCAGUACUUGACAGUAGUUAAAAGUCUUUUCUUAAAAUAUGACUGGAUUUCAGGCUGAUAGUGUAUCUUCAAACAAGUUGUGGCCACUUAAUCACCUGCAGCACUGCUAGAAACCCUCACCUUCCAGUUUAUUUUUUGAGCAUAAUUAUUUUGAAGAGAUUCUCGUGAUAGAGCAAAACCAACAAGACUUUUGAUGUAGAUUCAGCAUACGCUGCCAAGAAGAGCUUUCUGAUGACAUAAUUAACACCCUCACCCCAAAUAGCAUAGACUACACCAAGAAAAGCACUGUGCUGUAGCAUAGCCACACUAUACUACGGGCUUGUUUUCAAAACAGUGUCAGUAAGGAAGCAGAUAUUCCACAGCCCAGAUAUGCCAGCAGAAGUUUGUAAUCUAGACACAGCCCAUGUUUUAAAUUUUUUCCAGUAUCUUUGCUUUCAUACUUGGAAAAUGCAUAGCCCUGGUGACAAGCAGUAGGAAGUAGUUCAACGAAAAGGGAAACUCUUGUUUAGGGCUUUCGGGAGUAAAGGGCAAGCUUGAACUAUCAAAUAAGCCGAGUAGAUUGGAAGUCCAGAUUCUUGUGUGACUGGGUACUAUUCCACUCAAUAAUCUAAAGGGGAUGUUACCCUCCUAAGAAAACAUGUUUGCCUAUUUUGUACUGUAAUGUAAAACCAAGACCAUCUGAAAGGACUAAUAACUAUUUGUAACAAAUUUAACUUAAGCGUCCUUUAGCAAAAGGAGUAAAUAAUUGUGUUUGAAACCAUCACCCAAGCUUGUAAUUUAAAUACUGUAGCAA
This is an RNA transcript of Aptenodytes forsteri (emperor penguin), 4556 nucleotides long. It is a transcript of the gene named consortin, connexin sorting protein, with no coding region annotated. Lineage: Eukaryota; Metazoa; Chordata; Aves; Sphenisciformes; Spheniscidae. The transcript has 12 exons. The record is from RefSeq and is a predicted model, not a curated record.